UACAGAGGUCCCAAGCGUUGUUCGGAUUCAUUGGGCGUAAAGGGUGCGUAGGCGGCGCGGUAAGUCGGGUGUGAAAUCUCGGGGCUUAACUCCGAAACUGCAUUCGAUACUGCCGUGCUUGAGGACUGGAGAGGAGUGAGUUAACUGUGGUAGCGUGAAAUGCGUAGAGAUCAUAGGAAGACCAGUGGCGAAGGCGGGGUCUCUGGACAGUUCCUGACACUGAGACACGAAGGCCAGGGGGAGCAAACGGG
Molecule: ribosomal RNA, 251 nt
Filed under: uncultured bacterium
Lineage: Bacteria
Description: partial 16S ribosomal RNA
Rfam family: Bacterial small subunit ribosomal RNA
Source: RNAcentral